UAAACCAUGCAGUAUCUCAAGAUGUUCUAUGGUGAAAUAAAACCAAAAUUUGUCACUCCAGUCUCAUUGCAACUACAAGCGAUAUAUGUCCCAACUUGAUCGAGGAAGCCUGUGGUGCAUUGCGAACUAGAACUACCCAGGUUCCCUGCAAAACUGCUGCUAGAGUAGCGGCUGUCUGGUCGUCUAAAGCAUCUAUCAAUGCUCAGUCUGUGUCUGAAGAAGGGGACUGGAAGUGUUGCUCUUGCUCAAGUUUAGCUCAUGAAGGGCCUGGUGUUGAGACUGGUGGAUGCCAGUGUGGCUCUUGAUGAUCUGGGAAAGGGACACUCCAUGAUGAUUUUAUUUUAUUGUAAUGGUGCAUAGCCCACCUCACAUAUUUGUCCUCUACCAUUAUUUAAAUGUUAUUUUCAAAUGAAAUUUAAUAAUUUUGUUAUAUUUUAAAAUCCUCUAAUUUAUGAGAAUGAAUAAAACCAGUUAAUAGUUUAUUAAAAUUUUGAUGUAUGGAUGGGUGCACACUACUGAUUCCUCUUUGCUAAUUACCUUUUCCCUGGGUCCUUGAUCACUCUGGUUCAUGGCGUGGACGGUCACAUUCCAUGUGUCAGCAAACACAGAGAGAGGUGGGGCUUCAGGCUCCAUACUAAUGUGUUCUAGAGGAACUUGGACUAAACCAUAAGGUUCAGAUUUACGUUUACAUUUACAGCAUUUGGCAGACGCACUUAUCCAGAACGACCUACAGAAGUGCUUACGUCCCUAUCAUUGGAUACAUUAACUCUGGGUCACUAGGUUACAUACAUUAGAUACCAUGAGUCUAAAACUUUGCUCAUGUUUUUUUUUUAUUUUAAAUUCAGAAGGAUAUUUUUUCUAUUCAAUUCAUUUAGUUUUUUUCUUUGAUUGUUUGUUUGCAGUAGCUUUGAUUGUUACUGUAGGUAAUUGUUUGUAUUGUGUUAUGUAUAACGAAAUGGAUAUGUAUGGAUUUACCUUUUUGUUUCUCAUAGUGGUGGACGUAUUAUACAAGGUCUGUGUUGUUCAGCAAUAGCAACACUUUGUGCUCCUUAUCUUAGGGUUUGUUUCCUUUUUGGUUUUAUUUUUGUUUCUUACUUUGUUAACAGGGGACACAUUUAAUCAUUGAUGUGUUUUUGGCCUGGAUACAUUAUCUAAAGUUUUUGAUUCUUGUAUGGAACCUUGUUGGACGUGAAUUUUGUUAUGUAUAAGCCUGCCUAAUUUUGUUUGUUGAAAGGAAAAAUAAUUUUUUAAUCAUCUGUCCUGCUUGUUUUUGGCCUUGAUCAUCACAUUUAUCCUGAAAUCCUCAUGUUUCUACACCAGUGUGACUCUCCCUCAUUCUCUUUAAUUCUGCUUUUUAAGUGAUUCUUGAAUCAUGGUCUCUCUCAGUGGAGACACACCAACUUAAGCACAUACACAGUAGUCAGUUCUGUUCAGCUCAGAUCUAGCUGUGUUCUCUUGUGACUCUGUGCUGUCUUGUCUCCCAUGUAUAUCUCUGCUGUAGCCACCUCCUUAGCACUCACUCUCCUGAUUCCACCCUUCAUUCAACUCCACAGGUCUACAAGAGAAACAGCAGAAUUUUAUGCAGUGUAGUUUUAUGCAGCUAACUGAACUGGCUUUACUGAAUUUUCAGACUAAAAAUACAUUUUGUUAUCUGUCUUAACCACCUACAUGCAUCUGUUUACUGUUUAUAUGUUUAUAAAGCCUAAAUUAUGUCAAAAUGAGUGCAUGAAGAAAUGCAAAAUAUAUUGCUGAACCUUUUUCACCAGAACUUCCUGACGUAUCUUUCCACACCAUGCUGUUUUUUAAUCUACGUAAGAAACCACAGACUCCUAUACUGUACUUCUGCUUCUUUUAGUAUUUAGAUCCUACACCCUGUUACACGAAAGCUCUAACCAUGCAGCACCUCAACUCAUCUAACAGCUCGCUCAUCGGUCCUGUUGCAACUGAGAACCUGAUUUACAGUAUUGUGGUGGCAGUUUGCUUCAUACUGGGAGUCCCUGGUAAUAUUGCUGUAAUGGUGCGUCUGUCUGGAUGGCUGAAGAAAGGCAGUUUCACCCCGAGACUGAUGCUAAGCCUGGCCAUAUCAGAUCUACUCACUCUGAUUUCUCUGCCCGUUUCGAUUUGGGCUCAUCUGCAUGGCUGGGUGUUUGACUCGGUCUUGUGUAAGCUUCUCUCUUACAUGUCGUACUUAGGCUUCAGCUGCAGCAUACUAUGUGUGGUGUGGAUGAGCAUGCAGCGAUACAUCCAAGUGCUGCAUCCUGAGAAAUGGAACAAGCUUGGCAGAAAAGGAAAGAAGAUCCUUUUGAGUGGGAUGUGGAUGUUAAGUGCAGUUUUAUCAUGCUAUGCUCUCAUACUAAGCAGUAUAAGCUUGGACAGAGGAGGACGUCUUCAGUGCAGGCUAAUUUAUCAGACUGAGGUUGAAAUUAUGUCUAUUUUUAUCUUGGAGAUUAUAACAUUUGCAACUUCAUUCACCACCAUAUCUUAUUUCUAUUUUCACCUUCACAGAGGAGUUAAUAACUCAGCUUUCUUUAGCAGUAACUCAUUGACCAAGGUGUUGACCAGAAUUGUGGUGUGUUUCUGCAUUUUUUGGAUCCCGAAUCAAAUCUCCAAAAUUGUGGUCAUCAUUGCAAUAUUGACUGAGAAUGACAGUCUUUUAGGAUCUGCCGAAUCUGGAUAUAUUGUUACUAUAACUCUGUUUUUUAUUAACAGUUGUGUGAACCCCUUCCUGUACGCUUCGUCUGCUCGGGUUCUUUAACAUGGAACAGCUGGAACAAAUGAUCAUUAGUUUCUUGAACAUAUCAAGGUUUGAGUGAGCUGAUGCACGUCUCUGACAGACUUUCACAGACAUUGCAUUUAAAGGAACACCAUAUAAAAUUAUAUAAAUCGUUUUGAUUAUU
Long non-coding RNA from Tachysurus fulvidraco (yellow catfish), 2897 nucleotides. RefSeq lists it as uncharacterized. The record is from RefSeq and is a predicted model, not a curated record. Lineage: Eukaryota; Metazoa; Chordata; Actinopteri; Siluriformes; Bagridae. The transcript has 2 exons.